This 1498-nucleotide long non-coding RNA is filed under the name Cyanistes caeruleus (blue tit). RNAcentral's name for it is "lncRNA (ENSCCEG00000010716.1)". The record is from RNAcentral. Lineage: Eukaryota; Metazoa; Chordata; Aves; Passeriformes; Paridae.
CAAAUGUUUUAGUGCUGCUUUUUUCCCAAGUGGCAAAGCUGAGAGAGGGAAAACUGAAGGGAUGUGAUCAGUAGAGAAGGAUGGAGCUGGUGGAAGGUGGGAAGUCCUUGCUCACAGGCUUUCACCCCUGUCUUGCCUGGAAUAGCUGCACAGCACUGGCAGGAAUCUGCUGAGGGACAUUAGACAAGGGGGCUGAAGGUAUAAAAAGGUGACAUUGAUUUUAUUGCUCAGAAAUAUGGGCCAGUUAAUUUUCUUUAUGUGCCUGGCAUCUUGGCCACGCUGAGAGAUUUUUUUGUUGUUGUUGCCUGGUGUAGUUUGUUAUUUAAAAUUGUUGUUUAGGUGGAGGUGUCAUUUCAAGUUUGGAAUAAAGGAUAACUGGGAAUCCUGAGCAAGGUAGUCCUUGGUGUCCCACAGGACUUCAGUGGCUUGACUCUCUCAUCUCUAAUUCAAACCUGCUCUGAAAUAAUUAGAUCUCAAUAAGAGAAUGUUCCAAAAUUUUAUUUUUAUGCUGUAAAAUGGCAGGUGAAAACUGACUGUGCUGCUGACAUGUAGCUUAGACUGGUGAAUGAGUGGAGCAUGAUAUUCCUUGGGAAACUGGAGUGGAGGAGCAACCCCUGACCAUGCCCAAAGAAAGAUGUGCAAGUGAUUCAGCUCUUCCCUCUCUUGCAGGGGAGAGAUUAGAGGUGCACCCCCUUGUCAGUUCAUCUCCUUAACUCAUCAUAUAUUAUUUAUUGCAAGGAUUUGAUUUCCUAAGCCUGUCAUCUUCUUUUCUCUUAAGAUACCACUGACUAUUUGAUCUGGAGGGCUUAUUUUUUAUGAUGAUGGUGAUCAUUAUUGUGUACAGGCAGCUGAUGAGAACAGAGGAAGGAGCAGAUGAUGGCACCAAAUCCUGCCCUGGAGCUGAGCAGGGCUCAAGGAGCAGCCCCGUGUGGAGGAGCAGAUGGUGCUCUGCAAACUAUCAGCUGCAUUUUGUGGAGCAUUUCUGGAGCUGAGGGACAACUGUCUGGGAAUUUCCAGGUCAGGUAACCUUGCUCACUCUUGUGGAAAGCCUGAGGAGCUCCAGGAGGGAUUUAAAGAAGAGAUCUUCCUCUCCUGUUCAGCUAAUUACGAGCUCCUCCCUUCCAAACUCCUGAUCUCGUCACACAGCCGAAGGCGUCGACGGCAGAGCAGAGCCCGGAUUUGGGAGCUGGCGGUGCCGCGCCGCUGUUCCCGCAGCAGCCGGGUGCUUCUCCCUGUGCCUCUGGAGCCUGCCAUUGUGCUGGGAAGUGGAGCAGGUAACCACUUCAUCAGGCCGAGAUUCCAUUCUCGUGGAGCACGGAGGUUCAUUAUACUCACUUUAUCAGCAGUGCGCUUUACUGCCGAAUCCAUGAGAGAUAUUCAUGUGAAACAUGAGCAGAGAGAGAGGCAUUGCAUCUUUUCAUUAAUAAGCCCUCUUCUGGGAUCCGGCAUUAGCGAGAUUCAGCGGAUCAUAGAGCACAGGGGUAUCAUUUUUACAUGA